AUCGUUCUCGGCCUUUUGGCUAAGAUCAAGUGUAGUAUCUGUUCUUAUCAGUUUAAUAUCUGAUAUGUUCUCCAUGUGAGGACUAUAUAUUAAACGGAUUUUUAGCACCGGGAGCUGAAAGAGGGGCUUGCUCCUUUCACUCCACGCAUCACCUGGCACUGCAGUGCCGCCAGGAACGGUGCACCUUCU
Molecule: small nuclear RNA, 189 nt
Filed under: Amphiprion percula (orange clownfish)
Lineage: Eukaryota; Metazoa; Chordata; Actinopteri; Pomacentridae
Description: U2 spliceosomal RNA (ENSAPEG00000011768.1)
Rfam family: U2 spliceosomal RNA
About the family: U2 is a small nuclear RNA (snRNA) component of the spliceosome (involved in pre-mRNA splicing).
Source: Rfam by way of RNAcentral